AAUGAACGCUGGCGGCAUGCCUAACACAUGCAAGUCGAACGAAGGCUUCGGCCUUAGUGGCGCACGGGUGCAUAACGCGUGGGAAUCUGCCCUUGGGUUCGGAAUAACAGUGAGAAAUUACUGCUAAUACCGGAUGAUGUCGAAAGACCAAAGAUUUAUCGCCCGAGGAUGAGCCCGCGUAGGAUUAGCUAGUUGGUGAG
This 200-nucleotide ribosomal RNA is filed under the name uncultured bacterium. Its description in RNAcentral is "partial 16S ribosomal RNA". It matches the Rfam family "Bacterial small subunit ribosomal RNA", at positions 29 to 256 of the family's 1533-position model. The record is from RNAcentral.